RNA transcript from Cucurbita moschata (crookneck pumpkin), 914 nucleotides. RefSeq lists it as uncharacterized. The transcript has 4 exons. The record is from RefSeq and is a predicted model, not a curated record. Lineage: Eukaryota; Viridiplantae; Streptophyta; Magnoliopsida; Cucurbitales; Cucurbitaceae.
CUAAAACCCUUAACCCCUUUCAGCUCAGUCGUGUCCAGUAGAAUUUCCAGAUCUCCUCUUUUUUCUUUCAUGGCUUCUGCUUGCCGAAGAAUUGCGAGCAGAAUCUCCCAAUCUUCCUUCAGAACACUUCUCCGUACAAAUUCUCCGGCCAAAUCUCCAUCUUCUUCGUUCCCUCUGCCGCCUAAAUCCUCUGCACCUUCCGUUAGCCGAUUCUCUCUCGCCAGGUCUCCGUCGGAGCUGGGAUGCGUUCAAUCGCUUUUGCCUUUUCACAACGCGGUUGCUGGAGCGAGAAUGAUUUCCUGUCUGAGCACAAAUUCGAGGAGUUGUCGUGCGCUUUCUCAGGGUACUACUCUCUGCUGACCCUCUCCUGGUCUCUAACAUGAAAUAUUCUACUUUCUUUUGAAUUGCACAUAAUAUCAAUUGUCAAUAUGCUUGAAAGAAAUAGAUUGGAAGUUUGUGGAGCUUUCCUAUUAUGGUGCAGUGUAUCGAUAUCAAAGCUAGGUUUAUCCGUUCCAAGGUGACUUAAUUGGGCAGAUCACUGCAGUGACAAAGGGAUGUCAGCAAUGGCUUAGUGGAUUUCUUUUAAGUACUGUGACCAAUUCUGCUCAAUUUGUUUAACUAAUUUUGAUUAUUCCAUAUUCAGAGUUGAAAUAAGAAUAUAGUGAUUCUAGUUCUCAUGGCAACUCAGAAAACAAUAUUUUUCGCCAUUGUUGUGGGUCAUAAAUGUUUGAUCUUUGUCAUAGAUAUGUAUGUUUCUUAUUUAUUGAGAUGCACAUCAUAUUAUUUUCUUUUGGCUUCCAUGGAACAAUAUAUCUUGUAAACAAAUGGCGGCUGUUUUUCUUACUACUAGAACAAGCAAGCCUACAAAAUGAGGAAUGACACACUUUGUACUAUGAGCUUAAGAGAUUAUAACA